CUCGAGCCGGUUGGGCGAGGCCAAUAGUUUCGAAAUUUCGUAGAUUCCGACGAGAGCAGAUUCGCUCGGGUCGAACGCGCGAGCC
This 85-nucleotide transfer RNA is filed under the name Methylosinus sp. C49. Its description in RNAcentral is "tRNA-Thr". Lineage: Bacteria; Pseudomonadati; Pseudomonadota; Alphaproteobacteria; Hyphomicrobiales; Methylocystaceae. The record is from RNAcentral.